CAAAAAUUUCAAACGGCUUCUACCAAACAAAGAAAGUAUUAUGAAGCCGUUCAAAUUUUUAAGUGCAUUUCAUGUGGUGGACCUGAACUCCCAAAGCCCAAAGGUUGGAUCUCAGCAUAAGAAAAUAAUUUGUGGCCAACUUGUCUCUCAACUGGAAAACCAUAACCUUCCAACCCAAAAGCGAGAACUGUACCAAAUAACAUUGGAACUGAAAAGCUGCCCAGCUCCUUGCCUCGCCUGAAACAGAGUGGUUAUCAGGAUCUAGCUAGGAAUCUUCACUUCAGUGGAACUUGCCUGCCUUUGGAAAACUGGGAGGCUAGGACGAGAAGGAUUGAUCUGGCUCUAUUUUCCUCCAUGCCGAAGCUCCCUUGGUGAGAACAUCUAGGCAUCU
Carcharodon carcharias (great white shark) is the source of this 391-nucleotide long non-coding RNA. RefSeq lists it as uncharacterized. NCBI's taxonomy places the organism in Eukaryota, Metazoa, Chordata, Chondrichthyes, Lamniformes, Lamnidae. The transcript is spliced from 3 exons. The record is from RefSeq and is a predicted model, not a curated record.